This 483-nucleotide ribosomal RNA is filed under the name uncultured bacterium. Its description in RNAcentral is "partial 16S ribosomal RNA". The record is from RNAcentral.
ACUGACAGCCAUGGUUACCGCGGCUGCUGGCACGGAGUUAGCCGGUGCUUCUUCUGUGAGUGAUGUCCUUCCUGCCGGCUAUUAACCCGCAGGCCUUCUUCCUCACUGAAAGUGCUUUACAACCCGAAGGCCUUCUUCACACACGCGGCAUGGCUGGAUCAGGGUUGCCCCAUUGUCCAAUAUUCCCCACUGCUGCCUCCCGUAGGAGUCUGGGCCGUGUCUCAGUCCCAGUGUGGCUGAUCAUCCUCUCAGACCAGCUACGGAUCGUCGCCUUGGUGAGCCGUUACCUCACCAACCAGCUAAUCCGACAUAGGCUCAUCCGAUAGCGCGAGGCCCGAAGGUCCCCCGCUUUCCCCCGUGGGCGUAUGCGGUAUUAGCCUGGGUUUCCCCAGGUUAUCCCCCGACUACCGGGCAGAUUCCUAUGCAUUACCUCACCCGUCCGCCGCUCGCCACCAGGGAGCAAGCUCCCCGUGCUGCCGCUCG